GACGAACGCUGGCGGCGUGCUUAACACAUGCAAGUCGAACGGAAAGGCCCUGCUUUUGUGUGGUGCUCGAGUGGCGAACGGGUGAGUAACACGUGAGUAACCUGCCCUUGACUUUGGGAUAACUUCAGGAAACUGGGGCUAAUACCGGAUAGGAGCUCCUGCUGCAUGGUGUGGGUUGGAAAGUUUCGGCGGUUGGGGAUGGACUCGCGGCUUAUCAGCUUGUUGGUGGGGUAGUGGCUUACCAAGGCUUUGACGGGUAGCCGGCCUGAGAGGGUGACCGGCCACAUUGGGACUGAGAUACGGCCCAGACUCCUACGGGAGGCAGCAGUGGGGAAUAUUGCACAAUGGGCGGAAGCCUGAUGCAGCAACGCCGCGUGCGGGAUGACGGCCUUCGGGUUGUAAACCGCUUUCGCCUGUGACGAAGCGUGAGUGACGGUAAUGGGUAAAGAAGCACCGGCUAACUACGUG
Molecule: ribosomal RNA, 468 nt
Filed under: uncultured bacterium
Lineage: Bacteria
Description: partial 16S ribosomal RNA
Rfam family: Bacterial small subunit ribosomal RNA
Source: RNAcentral